GCCGGUGGUCACAGCGGGGAGAGACAACGCCCGGAACCCAUACCGAACCCGGAAGCUAAGCCCCCCAGCGCCAAUGGUACUGCCCCCGACAGGCGGGCGGGAGAGUAGGACACCGCCGGCA
This 121-nucleotide ribosomal RNA is filed under the name Actinomyces ruminicola. The record is from RNAcentral. Lineage: Bacteria; Bacillati; Actinomycetota; Actinomycetes; Actinomycetales; Actinomycetaceae.